AUCGCCCGGGAACUACGAGCAAAGCUUAAAACCCAAAGGACUUGACGGUACCCCACAUCCACCUAGAGGAGCCUGUCCUAUAAUCGAUAACCCCCGUUUAACCUCACCAUUUUUAGCCUAUCAGCCUGUAUACCUCCGUCGUCAGCUUACCCCGUGAGUGACCCUCAGUGAGCUUGAUGCCCAUACGCCAACACGUCAGGUCAAGGUGCAGCAGAUAAAGUGGAAAGAGAUGGGCUACACUCUCUAUUUUAGAAAAUACGGAAGACUAUCUAUGAAACCUAGUCAGAAGGCGGAUUUAGUAGUAAAAAGAGACAAGAGUGCUCUUUUUAACAUGGCACUGGGGUGUGUACAC
RNAcentral lists this ribosomal RNA (352 nucleotides) under Osteocephalus planiceps. Its description in RNAcentral is "partial 12S ribosomal RNA". It matches the Rfam family "Bacterial small subunit ribosomal RNA", at positions 868 to 1388 of the family's 1533-position model. Lineage: Eukaryota; Metazoa; Chordata; Amphibia; Anura; Hylidae. The record is from RNAcentral.